Molecule: long non-coding RNA, 154 nt
Organism: Telopea speciosissima
Lineage: Eukaryota; Viridiplantae; Streptophyta; Magnoliopsida; Proteales; Proteaceae
Exons: 3
Source: RefSeq, a predicted model, not a curated record
AUCUAUCCCAAAAUUGGUUUGGAAGCAAGCACACUAGUCUUAGAUAAGAGAUCCAAAACAUAUUUUCUCUAUGAGAGACUAAUCCCUUUGUUACUCCAUAGUACUUCAAUACCAAGAAAAUACCUGAGGACACCCAACGACAUACAAGAUUGAU